CCUACGGGAGGCAGCAGUAGGGAAUUUUCGUCAAUGGGGGGAACCCUGAACGAGCAAUGCCGCGUGAGUGAAGAAGGUCUUCGGAUCGUAAAGCUCUGUUGUAAGAGAAAAACGGGUAUCAUAGGGAAUGAUGAUAUCGUGAUGGUAUCUUACCAGAAAGCCACGGCUAACUACGUGCCAGCAGCCGCGGUAAUACGUAGGUGGCAAGCGUUAUCCGGAAUGAUUGGGCGUAAAGGGUGCGUAGGCGGCAAAAUAAGUCUGAAGUAAAAGGCGUUGGCUCAACCAACGUAAGCUUUGGAAACUGU
Molecule: ribosomal RNA, 305 nt
Filed under: uncultured bacterium
Lineage: Bacteria
Description: bacterial SSU rRNA
Rfam family: Bacterial small subunit ribosomal RNA
Source: RNAcentral